This 254-nucleotide ribosomal RNA is filed under the name uncultured bacterium. Its description in RNAcentral is "partial 16S ribosomal RNA". It matches the Rfam family "Bacterial small subunit ribosomal RNA", at positions 524 to 777 of the family's 1533-position model. The record is from RNAcentral.
UACGAAGGGGGCUAGCGUUGCUCGGAAUUACUGGGCGUAAAGCGCACGUAGGCGGAUUGUUAAGUCGGGGGUGAAAUCCUGGAGCUCAACUCCAGAACUGCCUUCGAUACUGGCGAUCUCGAGUUCGGGAGAGGUGAGUGGAACUGCGAGUGUAGAGGUGAAAUUCGUAGAUAUUCGCAAGAACACCAGUGGCGAAGGCGGCUCACUGGCCCGAUACUGACGCUGAGGUGCGAAAGCGAGGGGAGCAAACUGGG